Gallus gallus (chicken) is the source of this 5851-nucleotide long non-coding RNA. RefSeq annotates it as ring finger protein 212B. The record is from RefSeq and is a predicted model, not a curated record. The transcript has 16 exons. Lineage: Eukaryota; Metazoa; Chordata; Aves; Galliformes; Phasianidae.
CUCCCGCGGCCGCUCCCCGCCAUGGCCGCCCCCCCCGGCCGGGAUUGGUUCCACUGCAAUCGCUGCUACCGGCAGGACGGUACCCGCUUCUCCGUCACCAGCUGCGGGCAUGUUCUGUGCGAGGCCUGCCUGGGUGCAGGGCCGUGCCCCAUCUGCGCUGCUGUGUGCCGUCGCUUCCCCAUCCCAGAGCAGCUGGAGGAGACACUCUUCUUAAAGAGUCCCGCUGCCAUCGCCCGGCAGCACUUGGCACACAUCUCUCAGGCCUGGCGCUUCCAGCAGGCACAGGUGAACCUGCUGCUUGCCUCCCACCGUGACACAGUGCAUCGGGCUGAGGCAGCACUGCGGGAUGCCCGCCGGGCAUUGGACUCCAAGCAGAGGGAAGCAGACGCACUGCGGAGGGAGAACGGGGAGCUGCGGAGGCACCUGCGGGAGGCUGAGGUCUCCCCUACGUGGCGGUCGAGCAGGAGCAGCACUCCUCGGCCCAUUGGCAUCACUUCCCCAGCAACGACAGUCACCCCACAGCCUCGGCGGCAGCUCAGUGGGCAGGUGGUGAGCCGCUUGGCCUCACUGGAACUCCCCUCGGCCAGCAGCACCCCGACGUGGCUGGCCCCAUCUCCAGGCUCCACCCCCAGUCUGGCCCACAGGGCCACCCUGCUGGCUUCCCAUACUCCACUGUGGGGUCCUUUCACCACUCCGCCGCUGCCAGUCACCAUCCUGCCUGGUGAGCCCCAGCACUUUCUCUCUGCCGGCCUGCAGCCCCCCCGUGGCUGAGCCCACCACGUCAAAACCUCGACCAAGAUCGUCCCGCCGCGCUGCCUUGUGCAGCUCAAGGAAGCUCCCUGUGGAGUGCUGGUGGAACCCCUGCAUGGUCCAGCAAUGUGGGAUCAUCACUGCCAUUUUGGAGGUGGAGCGGCCAUCUUGGAAGCAGCUACCUUUCCAAGAUCCUCUGUCUCCCUGCCAAGACCCCACCAGUUCCUGUUGUCUUCCUACUCUUUGCAAUUCUGGGGCUGCCAGAGGGGUUCGCUGCGCCCCCAUGGUGCACCACACCCCUCCAGGCCUGGCUUCCACCUCCUGCUUAGCAUCACCAUGCGGGCUAAGGUAUGCUUGGAGCCAGGGGAACCUUGUGGAGAAGGAGCCUGGCCGGGGGAAGCUCAAAACCUAAUGCUGGGGAUGCCAAGGCCCAGUGGAAGCUCCUAUAGGAGCUGUGCCCUGUGUGAAAGGACCCCCUCGUGGGAACCCUAUGGCCCUAUAGAAGCUUCUGCUGAGCUGAUUUUGCUCAUGGGGAUCCUUAGGUCCUAUGGUGGGAACCUAAGGCUAAGUGUAGGAACCCACAGCUACAUAAAAGCUUCCAGAGGACUGAUUGUGCUUGAAGUGAACUCAUACCCCCAUGGAGGGACCCCAAGGACAUGCAGAGGUGUAAUGGUACACGCUGAAGGCCACAUAGGAACCCCAAUGGAGCUGACCCUUACCCACCACAUCCUCUCAGCCCUGUGCUGGGUCUCCAGCCCGACCCCUGCAGUUUGGCCAUGAUGAGUUAUCAUCAUGGGGUCACGGCCACCUGGCCAUAAUGGUGGCCACAUACGGCUGGUGGCCACCACUCUGCUAACCUGUUUGUCCCUGCAGGGCUCUACUAUGCGGGCAGUGAGGGAACCCACGUGACUGGCUGAGCUCUUGUGGGCUUAUGCUCCGCCUGCAGCACCUUGGGCUGAGGCCGCAGCUGCGGGCUCCCAGUGGAGGCUGCCUGAGGCCUGCUCUGCUCUGCCAUCUUCCAGGAAACACGAUGUGAUGCCUCCUUGGGCUGCCACGGUGCUGUGCAAUGUCAGGCACCUGGCUGCACCACAUCAUCCAACAGCAUGGCCAAGCUGCAGGAGCACUGUGGAUCACAGCAAGUCCAGCCUGAGGCUCUGCAGGGAUGGAGGGGUGAGGAGCUGCUCCAGGGAUUGAUCUUGGUCAUGGAGGGGCUACUGCAGUCAGUGUUAGGGGUGUUGUGGCACAAGGAGUCUCCUUAAUUAAGAUGGUUUUGGGGUGGAGGGACUUUUUUCCAGGUAUAUAAAGUUUCCUGAUUCGUUACAGCUGAUGUCUGUUGUUGUUGGAGGUGGGGCGUGUGGUUGGGUGCAGCUCCUGAUAAUGGAGGAUGGGAUGUGAGUACAUGGCAUGGAUGGCUCUGCCCCGUGUGUGUGUGUGCUGUUGGAGCUGGGGGAGGCGAGAAUGGCACUGAGCAGACAGCAGGUGCUCCAACAGCACUGGGACGUGUCCGGGUGUCUCUGGAGAUCACCAUGAGGCCCUGGGUGAUCUUCAGGUCCCAUCAGAGGGCACCGGGUUCCACCAGUGUUGUAGAGUGCCUCAGUCUCUACAGCGGGCCCUUGGAAGCCCCGCAGGAAGGCUCGGUGGGGCCUGGAGGAGCAGAGCUUUGGUGGUGUCUGACCGGGGGGCGGCUGCCCCGGGAAAGUGCCUGAGGAUUCUCCGGGCGGUGCCAGGAGGCCCUGAGGGUACGAGGAGCUCCGCAGUGCGUUUGGCUGCCUCCGGAAAGCUUUGAUCGCUACAAACUCCCAAAUCCUCGCUCCGCGGCCGAGCACAUCCGGAGACAGCCGAACCCUCCGCUAAAACCGCAGCUCCUCCCGGCAAAACGCUCCCGAGCACAGAAAGAAUCAACGGAUCGCCGGUCGGCGAGCGCGCUCAGCCUUAAGAGAACGGAUGCAGCAGCAGCCGCCCCACGCGCCCCUUAAAAACAGCUCUAUGUGCUCCCAGCUCCCCGUCCCGAGCCCCGCAGCUCAGACCAGGAGCUGCGUCAGCGCCCAACGCCUUCCGGCUCCCGGAGCUCCGUCCUGCGUGCCCGAGCGAACCCCGGGAACGGGCCGGUUCGGCUCCCGCUGCCCCGUCCGCUCCGCUGUCCGGCAGCGCCAGGCCGCUCCGCAUCGAACCGCGGCUUCCGGAUGUAUGGCAUCUGCUCGUCCAAUCGCUACUGCGCGUGCUCCAGUAAACGCCUGCCUUUGUCUCCAGUCCUCCAGGCUCUAUGGUCACCCGUCUGCUAGGCAGCAACCCGCGCGCCACAGAAAUGCGGAAGUGGCGUUUCUUUACCGCUGCUGCUCUGCGCCGCCGGUCUCUAUGGUAAAAGAUUCUUACGGAAGUACAAGGCGCGCGCCCGCAGACGUGGAAGUAGGGCAGCUUUGCUUCCGGCGCUCAGUGCCGUCAGUCCCGUCGGUACGGUGUGCUGUUCGCUAGGCGGUACCACGCAUGCGCACACAAACGCGGAAGUAGGGGCGGUCCGGUCCGUGCAGCGUCGCUGAGCGGCCGUGGAACGGGCGGGGAGGCGCCACCGCCGCGGGGAGAGAGCAGCGCUGCGGCGCGGGACGGAAAAGGAACAGUCAGGCCCUUUUUGGUGUCCUGGAUCACUCUACAACUCGGGGUGGAAGUUGAAGACUCAGAUCCAAUAUCCCACAGGCACAGCUGAUGCUGAACCCAGGAGCCCAGGUUGUGCUCAGGAGUUACUCCAAGAUGAGGAGUUUUGAAGACUAUUGGUCUUCAAGCAGGUGACAGUAGCAGCAGAACACUGGGCCAGUGCAGGGGGAAGGAAGAGGGAAAGGACAGGAUACCUUCAGAGCAGCCUGAAAAGCAGCAACGAGCUCUGGGAGGACUACAGAGUGCCACAUUCUGUAACAGGUGUAUCUGUGUGUGUAUUGCCAUUACUUGUUUGGGUCGGGGUUGUUUUCACUUCUGAGCUCCUGCAGUGAGAAGAGCUCGAGCAAAUGGUGCAAUCCAUGCAGACCUGUAGAAUCCUUGGUAAGGGCAGCCCCAGCCCUCAGCUGCUGUACAAGCAGCUUGUCAGCUGGACAAGCUUCCUCCGUGUGCCCACGCUGUGGGCUGUGCGGCUGUGCCUGGCUGCACUGCUCCAGCCCAGAGCCCACUGCCUGCAGCUGCAUCUCUGCUUCCUUCCCUCCCACACAGAGCUCCAAGGGUGCUCCUGCCAUCCCCUGCCCACCCCUAAAAUGCCAAAUACAUUUGGCAGCGGGAUGGAGGAAUCCCAGCACGCUGCUUCCUCUGUCCCCCAGGGCUCCCGUCUGAGCAAUGGGAAUGGUCUGUGGGGAAAGGGAGUGCUGGCAGGAGGCACUGCUGCAGCCGGCUGGGGAUGGUCUGCAUAGCCCAUGCCCUUGUGUUCUCUCUCCAGCUGAAUCAGGACCAGAGAAGGCCAGAUCAGAAGCUGCAGCUGAGACUGAUGGACCUGCACAACUGCAAAAGUGCCGUGGCUAUAAGCAGCGGAAGGCAUAUCAAACUGGGUUACUUGCGAGCACACCAGGACUGGAGUGAAGAUUCAAUUAGUAACCAGGCUGUAUCAAACCAGAAGGCGUUACAGAGAUCACCUGUGGUGCUUCAGAGGCCACAUAAGAAGCCGUUCAAUGGAUUCAUUACUCUUCCCUAAAGGAGCUGAAAUGGCUGUUGUUGUUGUUCUUCAGUCCUGGAGAAAUGACGCUGUAAAAAUUCAAGCCUUUAUCUGAGCAAACAAAGCACGAGAAGAGGACAAAACCCCCAGAUGUCAUUUCUCACAGCAAAAAACUUUCUAAGCAGUACAAGAAGCAAAAGGGAGGUUUGAAAGCUUUGAGCGAGUAGAAGAGGGAACAAAGGCUGGCAGCCCAUCGGCAUCUGUUCUGCUUCCUUCAGGUAUGGACCAAUCAACUUUGUUCUCUAGGAACUCAGCUGUUUUUCUUUAGCCCUGUGCUUUAUCCCUCAGGGAGGCACUAAUUUUGAUCUGAUGCAACGCCUUCCUAAAUCCAGUCCAGUCUCAAUUCUCUGCUUACAAGGGCUUCCAAGGGACUGCAAGCUCAGGCUUUACAGGUCAGAGGUGAAGCCAACAGGGAGACCUCUGGAUGUUCAGAAAGAAACAAGAAGGCUGGGAAUCAGCUGCUUUGUUGGAUGCUUUCACUGACUGUCCUACUUAAGGAUCCUGCCUGUCCAUGGACACGUUGGGUUGGUUUGGCUGGAGCUUUGGAGCUCGGUGCUUAUGGCUUUCAUUCUUUAUGGCACAGAGUGGCGCCAUGUGCUGCCUGGACCAGAUACACGUAUUGCUGGAGGAGAUCACUCUGUGCAUUGUAUUUUUUCUUUAAUGCUUUUAAGGCGUGAGGGGUUGAUUGCCUUCUAACAGGUCACGUCUACAAGAAAUGCAUUUUUCUUCUUUCUUUCCUUGCAGCCGUAGUUCAGGGAAAUGUGGAUGCUUUCUUCUCUGCUGCUGUUUCCCAUAGCAGUAUCCUAGGAAUGGCUUCUGUCACGGAUUGCUUACUUGCUUACUUCAAAUACUGAAAGAAAUGACCGUUCUUUUCCUUCUGCCUGUGUAGAACUCCCUUUGAUUUUGAUGACAAAUCCAUUAUCUGUUUCCCAAAAGUGAUGCUGAGCACCGUGCCUCAUGAUGACUUACACAUACCUCGUGCUUCAUAUUAAUUCCUCAUUUGGGUCAAAAGUAGACUGAAAUCCUUGAGCCUGUGCCUGGGGAUCCCGCUGCUACUGAGACAGUUCAGCUGCAGUGCCCGCGGUCAGAACGCCCUGCGGCAAUCCUGGCAUCGGCUGUGAAUGAGAGAACUGACAGCAAAUCACUCAAUAUCGAAACCCAUCCGGUGGAUAUCUCUGAGCCUUGGGUGAGCUGGGCGGCAUCUCAGGGUGGUGAGGUCGGGUAUGGAGGCUGUUACUGCGAUGUUCCUUCUAAGAGCUGCUCGGCUGUUUUGCGUUGCUCUGAUUAAUUGUUCCAAGCUAUCCUUGGCUUUGCUGCACACAUCUGUCUAAUUGGUACCAUGUUUUUUCAUCACCUCCGAUGCUGGCUGAAAAAAAAGGAAUAAUAAUAAUUAAAAAAAAUGCACAACAGCAA